Molecule: long non-coding RNA, 1148 nt
Filed under: Sus scrofa (pig)
Lineage: Eukaryota; Metazoa; Chordata; Mammalia; Artiodactyla; Suidae
Description: lncRNA (ENSSSCG00040002245.1)
Source: RNAcentral
AGGCGUGAGACUGACGCUGGGGGGAGAGUGGAAAAUCUCAGAGUCACCAACCCCCGAGCAAAUGGCAGCAGGGGCCGCGCGGUUGAAUGACCGAGGCCGGAGGCCGAAGGACUGCCUCUGCGCCGCGGUGAGCUUCCCGAGGCAGUAGGGGGAGCUUGACACCUAGGAAGGCCGGGGGCUCGGAGAAUCCAGAACUGCCUGACUCCGGAGAGAGGAGAGUUCAGGGUGCGCGCUCAGCGCCGCGACUCCGGGGUCGCAGGAUCCCAGGAAAGGCACGCUCUGGACCCAGAACUCCUGUGGACCCGGCGGGGCAGCGCCCAAAAAGCCAGAAACCAAAGCUCGUCCCCGGGCCUGGAGAGCAUGGGUGUGUGUGUGUGUGUGUGUGUGUGUGUGUAGAGAGAGAGAGAGAGAGAUGGUGGGGGGGCCGCUUGGACCCUAUCCUCCCCCCCGCAAAAAAAAAAAAAAAAAGAAAGAAAAGAUUAGAGCUCUUCUCUGCUUGAUUCCUUGUGCGCUUUAGGCAGCUCAGUCCCGCUGCUCAAGUUGGGGAGACAAAAGGGAGCGGUGCGCACUGCGGGGAUCCGCGCCAGGAUAGAGGGUCCCUCCACCCCGCGCCUCGGCGGAGCAGAGCUUGAAACCCAGAACCUCAGACGGCGUCCACCUGGUCGCCCCAACGAGGCCGAGAAUGGGAGCCCAGAUCCUGACCUGGCCGGAUUGGUAGGGGCUUCUGGAUCCCGGGCCCCGGUGCUCUGUCCCGCGGCGCAGACCGGGAUAGACUGCAGACUGCGGAGAAAUCGGGACGUGGAAAAGCAGCCGCGGCGCCAGCCAGCCGCGGGUCCGGCCUCUGGAGAGAGGAAGCAGCCGGGCGGGGAGGGGGUUGCCUGGAGGGGUAGGCUGGUGGCUGCCUCUGGCCCUCGGCAGCCAGAAGAAGAAGCGAAGAGCAAAACUCCUUUUCUCCCUAGGGACAAGAGGGCUCCGGCGCGCUCUCCUCCCCAGGCCUGGGAAACAGGUUCUCAAGCGCCCUCCGACCUCCAAUCGAUCCCAGUCUCCCGCCUGCGACAGGGGAUGCUUGGAGAGCGAGGAGAGGGACGCGGGGAGCGGCACCUCCCCCAGGCCGAGGCUGGGCGGCCGAGUCCGACCUGCGCCGCUCU